CGAAAGCCUGACGGAGCAAUACCGCGUGAGGGAGGAAGGCUCUUGGGUUGUAAACCUCUUUUCUCAGGGAAGAAUGACGGUACCUAAGGAAUAAGCAUCGGCUAACUCCGUGCCAGCAGCCGCGGUAAUACGGAGGAUGCAAGCGUUAUCCGGAAUUAUUGGGCGUAAAGCGUCCGCAGGUGGCAAUUCAAGUCUGCUGUCAAAGGUUCUGGCUCAACCAGAGACAGGCAGUGGAAACUGAAUAGCUAGAGUGCGGUAGGGGCAGAGGGAAUUCCCAGUGUAGCGGUGAAAUGCGUAGAGAUUGGGAAGAACACCGGUGGCGAAAGCGCUCUGCUAGGCCGUAACUGACACUCAUGGACGAAAGCUAGGGGAGCGAAUGGGAUU
RNAcentral lists this ribosomal RNA (384 nucleotides) under uncultured bacterium. RNAcentral's name for it is "bacterial SSU rRNA". It matches the Rfam family "Bacterial small subunit ribosomal RNA", at positions 376 to 779 of the family's 1533-position model. The record is from RNAcentral.